UCCCUAGUGGCUCAGAUGGUACAGAAUCUGCCUGCAAUGCGGGAGACCCAGGUUCGAUCCCUGGGUUGGGAA
RNAcentral lists this transfer RNA (72 nucleotides) under Bos taurus (domestic cattle). It matches the Rfam family "tRNA". Rfam says of the family: Transfer RNA (tRNA) molecules are approximately 80 nucleotides in length. Their secondary structure includes four short double-helical elements and three loops (D, anti-codon, and T loops). The record is from Rfam by way of RNAcentral. Lineage: Eukaryota; Metazoa; Chordata; Mammalia; Artiodactyla; Bovidae. RNAcentral also lists the same sequence under 2 other names.